GAAUUUUCCUCAAAGCUUCAUUGUCUAAACUCUGAACCUCAUCAUAACCUCAGUUCUGCCUAGCUCCAUAACUAGUAGGUUUCACAAUUUGAUGUCCUCUUGCUGUGCUGACCCACUUGGAACUGGCCAUUCAGCAAGAUCCUAGAAUCUGGGGAUCAGAGACUACAACCCGGAAGGGACCAGGCUCAGAGCCCUGUGGGGUACUAGGCAGGAGGCUCUGACAUUCUGCCACCAACACACAGGAAGCAAACAGGUUUUUUUCUACUGGUGUUGGUGUACUUUGUGCUCAGAGAAUAGAAUAUCCCAGGGGAGUGUCAAACCAUGAGAAAAGGAAAGGUUACCAAGCAACGGCUUCAGGCAAAUCACCUCAGAUCUGCUCUCCAUUCCCCCAGGGUUGUGGGGGUCCGAAGCACAAGCAGAUGUCUGGAGGGAGCUAUUACUCACAUCCUCCCCUUCUUAAUUUCCCCUUCUUAAUUUCGCUCGGUGGCAGUAGCAGCAGUCACAGACCAAUCUCUAUCACUUCAGGAAAGAAGGGGGCAGAAACAGCCACCCUCCUCCUAACUUUGGACAGAGCUUACUCCAGAAGACAGUCUUGGAGUAGAACACCAUGGACCAAGUACUUGCCGAGCAUGCCCACUGCCCUCGAUUGUACAUGUGCAAAUACUUUCUUUGCCUAUUCAGAAAUUAGCAGAAACUGUUGAAUAAAGGGAUAAAGGAGGUGAGAAUACUGGUCCUUUAUCAGAGAAUGAAAUAAGCAAAAAGACAAAAUCAGAAAAGUAGAAAAGCAGAAAAUGACUGUGUUCCUUUGUUCUUGCCUCUUUUUUCCCCCCAAAAAGGGAGGAUGCACCACUCUCUCCAUUUUCUAAGAAAAGAAGUAAAAACUGAGCGGAUAACUCAUGUGCCUUCUAAGGAUAGUGCCAGCAAGAAUAGAACGCAGACCUCUUUCUCUGAAAUUUUGAUUUGCAUGAAUUCCUCAUCUUCACCUUGAGAAAGGUUCUCUUUCCCAUCUAAGCCUCAGAGUAAGAUACGUUUGGGCUCUGAUUUUUGCAUAGCAUCUGUUCCUAAGUGAGAAUGGCCACUGGAGUUUGGAAACCAGAAAGCAAGAGAAAUGGUGUCAAGGGACACAAAACUGUUUAAAAAGGGAAAAACCACCAAAUCUCUCCCUCAAUCUCUCUCUCUGCUCUCACACACACAGAUGCUCAAUAUUGGCAAUGUUAAUAUAUCUUCUGAAGAGACAGAAAUGAA
Molecule: long non-coding RNA, 1245 nt
Filed under: Homo sapiens (human)
Lineage: Eukaryota; Metazoa; Chordata; Mammalia; Primates; Hominidae
Description: HSALNT0372950
Source: RNAcentral